Limulus polyphemus (Atlantic horseshoe crab) is the source of this 1635-nucleotide RNA transcript. It is a transcript of the gene named inactive hydroxysteroid dehydrogenase-like protein 1, with no coding region annotated. The record is from RefSeq and is a predicted model, not a curated record. The transcript has 3 exons. NCBI's taxonomy places the organism in Eukaryota, Metazoa, Arthropoda, Merostomata, Xiphosura, Limulidae.
GCUUGCUAAAUUUAGCUUCUGAUUUCUGAUACUUUAUGAUCUGUUUCUAGGCCUAACAAUAUUUUGAUUCUUCUCAGAUAUACAAAACACCUGAUGCCUCACGACCAUGUUAUAACAUUUUCACCACUAAGUGUCAAGGUAAUGAUUCCGGGGUCCUUUCUUCUAAUCUCAGCCCAAGUAUCAUCCCCCCUCUAUGGCUGGGGUCAGUACGGAUAUGUUCCAGAGUAUGGAGUUUGUGAUCUCCUUCUGUCUUCGGCUCAUUGCUGUUCCUACAUGGCCUACACGUGGAUCGUGUUGAUAUUUCCACCUGUCUUCGUCUUGGUAUUCUGUUUAGGAAAGUUGAUUCGUCGAUCAAAAGCGUAUUGUUUUCACGACGACGAUAUUUACAUGCGUGGUCUACUGCGUGAAAAAUCCAGGAUCUUAGAAGAAGACAAAGAAAUCAAAACAAUAGUUCUGUCAGGCUUACUUUCUGUUAUCCUCGUCCUUCCAUCGUGGAUACUUGCAAUUCUCGAGAGUUGCGAAAUCGUCAGUAAGAUUUAUUCCGGGCUUAUACUUGCAGGCUACCUACUAGAGGUUUUAAGCGGGCUUGUUUUGCCCGUCGUUUGUGUGCUGUAUCAUUCAAAGGUUCGAGAAACGUUUAUGCUUCUGUUGAAGAAUGAUAGAUGUUGCCCUGCUCUAAGAUCAAGCAGCAGUACAGAACAAACAGUGGCAACUAUCCUGUGAGAAAAAAAGCACCUUUUACUGUUUCCAAAUGUAAAUACUACACAACCAAAUACCAUUUGUAAAAUCUGUGUACAUUAAGGGAUACUAAAUGCAUAUAAUAUUUCGUGUUUAUAUAUCUCGGUGGUUUAUGAAAAUACUUGUUGUUUUAAUUUUGUUCAGAAAAUCCAAAAGAAUUAGCUUGCCUAACGUUUUUUAUCGUUAAACCUCACAAUUAGCCCUAAAUUGGCUAUUUCUUUUCUGUAUCUAUAAAAACUACAAAAAAUAACGACACACGUGUAUAAAUAUAUGAAAUAUAUAUUCAAAUGAUUUGGAUUAUUUCUUAAAAGUUGAAUGACGAAAAUAAUAUUUUAACUCUGGUGAUAUGCCACAUAAUUCUGCGUUGUGUAUCUUACAUAUUUUAGGUAUUAGUUUCAAAAUGUGCAAUGCAUAACUGUUAUUCAAGCUGUUAAAGGUGCAAUCCCAGUACUGUGACGUCAGUAACUCUGUUAGAUAGCCACAAAGAUGUUUUUUGUGACGGAAUUCUUGGAAUAGAUGAAGAUAUUUCAAAUAAAUAUACAUUUCAAUUAUAUGUAUCUUUUGGUGAAAAGAAAAACUGUAAAUUAUUAAAUAUUAGUGAAAGAUAGACGAACUUAAGAAUCAUCAAGCUUUAUUCUCAUUAUGAAUUGAGAAUUAUGGAGAGCUACCGAACAUCUGAACAAACAAAUAUUAAGGAAACUCUGAGGUGCCACUUUUAUUAGUCAACUGAUGAAAAAUACAUCCACCAAGGAGUCUCGCCCCCUCUUUACCCAAUUGUUACCGGUGGCACCGAUGGCAUUGGAAAGGCUUAUUGCAGAGAAUUUGCCAAACGUGGACUUAAUAUUAUCAUCAUCAGUCGCAGCCUAGAUAAGUUAAAAACUACUGCAGAGGAACUUG